GCUUCUUCUGUUCAUUUCUGGGACUCGUGUGGGUCACACCUCCAUGCAUCUGUCAGGUGGUCUAAUGCAUCCCUAAUUCUCGGGGACCCUGUCAGUGCCUUGCAGUAGCAUCUAAUGCUUAUUUUCCAAAAUUGGCCCAGCCUCGACCUUGGUCCUACACGCUAUUUACGUCUCUAUCUAUAUUUCGUGUGCCUCUUCUUUUGUUAUGUCCUUGUUCAGAUCAGGAUGUGCCAAAUAUUUUUAAAUGAACCCCUUCCAUUUGCUGUGUUCUUCAAUCAUAUCCUUUCAAAUGACUCUGCCAAAUUCUAGAUUUUUCGCUAGCAAGCUUCUGUCCUAGAUUCCACCUCUUGCUUUCUCUCAUUACUUCUUUCUCAGCACUCAUGACUUCUGCUAAGGAUCUCUAGAUAGUUCCAAAAGGUCUCAGAAAGUUUUUAUUCUUCUUUGAGGUUUAAUAGAUAAACUGUAAUGAUUUUAGGGCUACAAUAUAGAUCCCUUUUACCCCCCUCUUCUAACCUUGUGCUACUCUCUCAGUUCAACCCCUCCCCAUAUUUUUUCUGCAUAGUUUUUGGGGUAUUCUCACUGACAUCUCACAGAUAUCAAUUCAUCUUUCAUAUUUGCCACCACAAUCUGAGCUUGGAAAUGAUUGAAAUAUAUCUAAUCAAAAGAAGUGAGUAUAGAACUUGUUCACCAACUAUAGUAAUUAGAAAACUAGUGAACCUGCUUGAAACUAGCAAGAAUUCAAGAACAAACAUGAGAAAACACUGUUUUAUAUAGCAUGUAGGUAGCAUAGACAAGGUUAUACAAGUUGAGAACAUUAAUAACUUUUAGAAGGCUUUAAACUUAUGGAUAAUUCUUUAGACUGCAUCCUUAACCUUUGGAGGGUGAGGUCACAUGGGAGCCUGGGCCACAAACCAUCUUCAAAAACCAAACACUAAGUUUGUGGACAAUUCGUAAAACCCAGACAGUAUUUCUUAAGAUUUUACGCUGUCCAGAGGGCUGAACUUCUGACAUAAAAAUCUUUAUCUCAAAGAUGCAAAUGUGAACCAAAUGUCCUUUUUAAAACAGUAGCUAGUUAUGGCACUAGAGAUGUUUAAGCCCCAGGCUUUACAAACAAUUUUAUAAUAUCAUUAGCCUAAAGAUUGCCCCUGCCUCUAUUUCAUAACACCAACAUUUGCAAAUCUGGGCUUUUGCAAUUUUUUCUGUUUCUUUCAAUGUCACUGGAACUCUAGCAUCUGCUUUCAGAGAAUAAACUUUGCUUUCUCUCCUCAAACCCAUGGAGAAUGACAAAGGAGAGGAAUGAUGAACUUCUUUUAUGCCCUUAGCCUCAGUCACGGCCAGCCUGAUCAUAUUUCCUUUGGGUUCUGGCUAUAUUGGCCAAUCAUUUUCAUGGCUGGUUUAAAGAGCAUGUGCCUAAUUUAGAGCUGCUGACACAGGGCAGGGAAACAGCCACCUGGCAAAUGCCUUGGGCUUUGAAUGAUUCCACUAACUUGAAGCCUAGGCCAAGUUCCCCUCAAGUUGUACUGAGGUUUGUAAACCUUUUGGCAAUGCUGGGCCAGGACUGGACCAGGUAAUCAGAGUUUCAUGGUCCUCAGCUAGGUGUGAAAUUUUAAUCAGAGGGAUUUUAUUUUUGCAAAAAUAUAAGGCACCACCAGACAUGUCACAUAGAAUUAGGCACUGGAUUCACUGAAGUUCAAGAUGAGUCAGAUGGUUUCUUACAAAAUGGCAAAUCCUGUCAUCUUUGAUGGGCCAUUAAAAAUAAAUGGAAUCAGCGUAGUUCUAUUACCCCCUUCGUCUUAUGGGGAAAUAUUACAGUAUAAUUUUUAGUUCAUCCACAUUUUAGAACUGGAUAAUUACUUUCCAUUUUAAUUGCAAGAUGGCACAGAAAAUGCAUAAGCUUCAGCCCAAAAAUACACUCUCUGAUCCAGUAGAUAUUGUAGAAACCACUUGCUAUUAUAUCCAAUAUGGUCUCCAGACGCACUCCAGACUCUCAGAAGUUCAUCUAGAAUGGUUUCAGCAAUCCUUAUAUCUGAAAAAUAAACACUAGACACAGAAGACAUUGGGACAUCAGGCUAAAGUGAGAGCAGGCUCUUACCCAGCAAGACAAAGCCAGAGCUGGCUCCUAUACAAAGGGAAUUUAAAGCUUAGUAAGGAAGCAGGGCUGACUGCUAAUGUGGAGGAUGGAUGAGGAAGAUGUCUCUGUGGCUUGAUAUACCAAACUCCACAGAGCUCAUCCAGAGAGAUUCUGGAGAGACAGAGUCCUUUGAGUAUUCUCUGCCAGACCUCUGCCAAAAACUGAGACCAAGUCACCAUAUGCUGCCUAUUACAGGGGUAAUUCACAUGAAUGCCAUGUGAACUAAUUUCUUGCCAUCUCUUCUUGACCUUGGGCAAGUCACCAGGUCUCCAUGGGUUUUGUGGUAGCUUCUUCCUCUCUCUGACUGGGAUGUGCAAGCCAGGGGUGGGAAUGGCAGUGCUACUCACUGAACUACCCUGCAGCAAGAACCAAGAGAUGUAUUUUCCCUGAAUGUCACAUGCAACAAUAGAAAAUAACACAAUAUGUAGGAAGAUUAUGUGUUUCCUGGGUUGUUGGAGGGCUGAUAGUUUCAAGCACAGUACAAAUAGGCAUAUUCCUUGAGCAUUUUCACUUUAGGCUAUUUGGAAAUGUGUCAUUUAAAAUGUGGAAUCCUGGCAUAAGAUUUUCACACUGAAAUUUUUUCAAAACUAUCUAAAAUGUGUCUUAUUUGUGAAAAUGCAUCUUAUUAAUCCAUUGUGAUAUAAAAUAACAGCUGCUAAUAUGAUUUUAAAGUUUGUAAUAAAGUGCAUCAAAAUGUCUAUAGAAUGGAUCGUGACAGCACAGCCAACAAGCGAUAUUUCAGGGACUUUUAAUGUGUGAGUAAAAUGCCAACAUGGCAGAAAAUGAAAACUCCCAAAUGUAUCUUGUCUGAUUUUGACAUUUACUCUCCUAAUUCGGACCCCACACCCACUUGUCUCAGGAAUUUCUGUUGUUAGAAAGGAAGAGGAAGGUGAAAGUCAUUGAUGCUAAAGCCCUCAGCUGUUUGGAUGGUUUCUCACACAUUAGAGGCAGAUCUUCCCCACUGAGUCCAGGGACUCAUAUGCCAAUCUCUUCUGGAAACACCCCUACAGACACACCUGGGGCAGUGCAAUCAUUCUAAUCAAAAGUAACAAACAGCCUGAGUUUCCUUUCCAGCAGUAGAGGGAUGCGUUCAGUGCCUACUGAAACAUCAAGAAUAAAUAAUGCUUUGCCAGCUAUCUGAGCAUCCCUUCAUCCAGUCAAGUUGAUACCCAAACCAACCAUCCCACAACUUUUAGGUCUGAUUAUGUUUUAGGGUAUAUCCCCGUCCUGGGUGCUUUCAUGCGCUGGCGUUGAGUUUCUGCGGCUAUUCCAGAACCCAGCCUGAAAGAGCAGCUUAUAUUUGGCACAUGUAGUUUUCAUGACUGAGGGUCAUAAGAGGCAUGAUGCAAACCAAAUGUGACAAACAUCACAUAUUUUCAUUGGCCAAAGCAGUUACACGGACAAGCUUAAAGUCAAUGAUGUGAGACAUUACACUCUAUCCCAGAGAGCUUGACACUGAUAGAGUGAUAAUGAGUAGUAAUAAAUAGCAGCCUACCAUGGCAAUCCAUUUUGGUCACAAAAAUUUUCUCUCUUCUGCAAGUAAGAUACACUAAACUGCUUACCACAGCAUUCAAUGUCACAGUUGACUAUAGCAUUAGGUUCUAACUCCAAGAUCAAGUGAUCUACAUCAUGUCUGAAUUCAACUUCUCUUACUUCUGAAACCUAAGUACAAAAAGGACAACUUAGGUGCUUCUGUCCCCAUCUCCCAUCUAUAAUGGUGGAACAGAGUCAGUAGAACUGAAACAAACGCCCUCAUUAGAAAGGGUAAGAAUGGGAGGUUCUUUAUUGUUACUAGUUCAUAGAGAUUCUGAAAUUCCUCUGGGAAAAUAUGGUAAGGCCUCUUAUUUGGGGGUUAGCAGGUAUUUUUCUGUUAGACUCUGGUCAUGGUUCCUGGGAGUUGUUCCUGUCAAUUGUUCUCCUUGACUCUCAACUGUACUGUUUAGAUCAUCCUUCAUAUUCCAUCAUUUUCCUCAGCCAAAUCCAAAAGCAAGGCUUUCUCAGUCUGCUUCCUGCCAAUAAAAUGUUUGCAGCCCAGCUGGAUUGAACAGUUACAAUCUCUUCUUUACAGUCAUAGUCUCUUUUAAUUCAGGCUGUUGGCACUAUUGGAAAUGAAAUAAAAACACUUUUAGAAAAUGAUUCCAGCCAGUGCAGUAGCCCACACCUGUAGUCCCAGCUAUGUGGAAGGAGAGUUUGAGACCACCAAUUCAAGUCCAGCCUGGGCAACAUAGGAAACACUGCGUCUACAAAAUAUUAAAAAAGAAAAUUAGCUGGGCAUAGCAGCUCACAAUGUAGUCCCAGCUACUUGGGAGGCUAAGAUAGGUGGAUCACUUGAGCCUGGAGGUCAAGGCUACAGCCACUGCACUCCAGCCUGGGAAAGAAAGCAAGACUGUCUCAAAAAAGAAAAAAGAUUCAAUUUUCUUUUAGAGGCUUAAUGCUAAACACAUAAUGAUGAGUCCUUUGAGCUUAUUGGGAUUCUGUUGUAUUUCGCCUUAGUCUUAGUUACUGAGCCAUUUUGUCCAAUUGAAAGAGUUUAUAGAGAGCCAUGUUAAUUCAAUCAGAGCUCUCAACAAAGGUGUAUAGCCAAGGCUUUGAUUGAAUAUUUGAUCCCAAACUGUGCUUUAAUAUCCACAUCUUAUCCCUGUGGCCGUGCGCAAAUUUGAAAAUGUUUUACUAUCUGUAGAUGAGCAAUAGCUGUAACUUUCAACCCUUCAAUUCCUGAAAUUUCUGGAUUGUUAUUUUUUAUUUCACCU
Molecule: long non-coding RNA, 4881 nt
Filed under: Homo sapiens (human)
Lineage: Eukaryota; Metazoa; Chordata; Mammalia; Primates; Hominidae
Description: HSALNT0310647
Source: RNAcentral